GCUGCACCAACAACGAAAACUGCUGCACCAACAACAACUACUGCACCAACAACAACAACCGCGGCUCAAACAACUACAAUAGCGGCUCCAAAAACCACAACAGCAGCUUCAACAACCAUAACAUUGGUUCCAACAACCACAACAGCGGCUCCAAAAACCACAGCUGCAGCUCUAAAAACCACAACAUUAGUUCCGACAACCACAACCCCGGGUCCAACAAACACAACCCCAGUUCCAACAACAAAAACAACAGCUCCAACAACCACAACCCUGGCUCCAACAACCACAACCCCGGCUCCAACAACCACUGUGACGAUAAUUCCUCCCGUCUUUUCAACCAUGGCGUAUUUACAAGUCAAGAUGAUUACCUUUGGUGAACUCAGCAACGACACCAUUUCGGGACUUCUUCAAGAGUUCUUCAGAAAUCAGCUCCCGACUGGAACAGCUCAUCUGCUCUCAGUGAAAAGAAUCCAAAGAUUUGCAAUUUAUUAAUAUUAGUUUGGGGUAUUGUGUUUAUAAAUGCACUUAACUUGUGGUUAAAAAAUAUCGAGAAACAUAUUGCUUACACAUUUACAUCAAAAAUGUAUUCCAUGGAAACACACAACUGUAUAUAACAAUUGAAAUAUUCAGAAUUGAAAUGUAAAUCCAAGCAUUUAUCAAAUAGUCAAAUAGUAUCGUCAAAAGACAAAUCAAUGGUCUUGUGAAAUCCUAAUUUCCUAAUAUUUUCUCAGUAAAUCAGUAACUAACUUUAUUAUUGUGAAUGUUUUUUAAUCAAUCUUUCAAAACAUGAUGCUGAUUUUCUUUCGGUUGUCUUUUAUUCUGUUUACAGAUCCAUGUUUUCACAUGACUUGGAUACAGUAAUAUUACUAUAAUUUGUAUUAAAUAAAGUGUUGACCAUCCGGACAUUUAAAUGAUCAUAAAUGCUUUGUCUACCAUAAAAGGUAAAUCACUCAGAGCAACCUUAAUUUAUGGUGUGUACAUUAUAUGCUAUUUUUGGCCAUCAAAGAUCCUCAUGAAACUGUACUGAAUUUAUUGUCUACGAUAAAGCCUUGCUAUUGGUGAA
Long non-coding RNA from Gadus morhua (Atlantic cod), 1063 nucleotides. RefSeq lists it as uncharacterized. NCBI's taxonomy places the organism in Eukaryota, Metazoa, Chordata, Actinopteri, Gadiformes, Gadidae. The record is from RefSeq and is a predicted model, not a curated record. The transcript has 3 exons.